RNAcentral lists this ribosomal RNA (151 nucleotides) under Polystira picta. RNAcentral's name for it is "partial large subunit ribosomal RNA". Lineage: Eukaryota; Metazoa; Mollusca; Gastropoda; Neogastropoda; Turridae. The record is from RNAcentral.
UAUUAAGAUAAUUAGAUACUUGUGUCCUAAAUGUUUAUUUAUUCAAAACAUUAUUAUAUUUAGUAAAGGAGAUUAAAAGUUGUUAUGUAUUCUUAAAUUUAAGUACUGUAAGGGAACAACCUUAAUAGAAAAAAAGAAAAAAUUAGACUUU